This 241-nucleotide long non-coding RNA is filed under the name Mytilus galloprovincialis (Mediterranean mussel). The record is from RNAcentral. Lineage: Eukaryota; Metazoa; Mollusca; Bivalvia; Mytilida; Mytilidae.
AGAUCACAAAACUACAUUCACAUGAUUGUGAUAUAUAAACAUUGACUCUAUAUGAACUUUUACAUUAUGUUUAUCAUACUUUUAUUCUUUUUACAUGUAUAUAUAUAUAAUUAUUAUUUUUAUUUUAUCAGUUCAGAUGAUGUUUCAAAUUCAAGCUUUGGGACAAAGCUUAGUGAGGUUGAGGAAGAGUUGUUAUAGAAAAAUUAUGAAUUGCCAAAGACAAAAUUUUAAUAUAACAGAC